This 549-nucleotide ribosomal RNA is filed under the name Escherichia coli. RNAcentral's name for it is "bacterial SSU rRNA". It matches the Rfam family "Bacterial small subunit ribosomal RNA", at positions 1 to 539 of the family's 1533-position model. Lineage: Bacteria; Pseudomonadati; Pseudomonadota; Gammaproteobacteria; Enterobacterales; Enterobacteriaceae. The record is from RNAcentral.
AAAUUGAAGAGUUUGAUCAUGGCUCAGAUUGAACGCUGGCGGCAGGCCUAACACAUGCAAGUCGAACGGUAACAGGAAACAGCUUGCUGUUUCGCUGACGAGUGGCGGACGGGUGAGUAAUGUCUGGGAAACUGCCUGAUGGAGGGGGAUAACUACUGGAAACGGUAGCUAAUACCGCAUAACGUCGCAAGACCAAAGAGGGGGACCUUCGGGCCUCUUGCCAUCGGAUGUGCCCAGAUGGGAUUAGCUAGUAGGUGGGGUAACGGCUCACCUAGGCGACGAUCCCUAGCUGGUCUGAGAGGAUGACCAGCCACACUGGAACUGAGACACGGUCCAGACUCCUACGGGAGGCAGCAGUGGGGAAUAUUGCACAAUGGGCGCAAGCCUGAUGCAGCCAUGCCGCGUGUAUGAAGAAGGCCUUCGGGUUGUAAAGUACUUUCAGCGGGGAGGAAGGGAGUAAAGUUAAUACCUUUGCUCAUUGACGUUACCCGCAGAAGAAGCACCGGCUAACUCCGUGCCAGCAGCCGCGGUAAUACGGAGGGUGCAAGC